GGGGAUGAUCGGUUUCGACGGUUUUUGCAGAAACUGAAUGAAGCGGGUCGAGAAUGCAGAGUUAUCUCGUUAACGUCCUCUGCAAACUAUAGGUGCCAAAUCUAAGAGC
Molecule: transfer-messenger RNA, 109 nt
Filed under: Actinomycetota bacterium
Lineage: Bacteria; Bacillati; Actinomycetota
Description: Actinobacteria bacterium partial transfer-messenger RNA
Rfam family: transfer-messenger RNA
About the family: Bacterial tmRNA, also known as 10Sa RNA or SsrA, is named for its dual tRNA and mRNA-like properties.
Source: RNAcentral